This 324-nucleotide ribosomal RNA is filed under the name uncultured bacterium. Its description in RNAcentral is "bacterial SSU rRNA". It matches the Rfam family "Bacterial small subunit ribosomal RNA", at positions 588 to 916 of the family's 1533-position model. The record is from RNAcentral.
UCAGAGGUGAAAUCCCAGGGCUUAACCGUGGAACUGCCUUUGAUACUGUUUGUCUUGAGUUCGAGAGAGGUAAGUGGAAUUCCCAGUGUAGAGGUGAAAUUCAUAGAUAUUAGAAAGAACACCAGUGGCGAAGGCAGCUCUCUGGAUCGAUACUGACGCUGAGGUACGAAAGCGUGGGGAGCGAACAGGAUUAGAUACCCUGGUAGUCCACGCCGUAAACGAUGAGUACUAGAUGUUGGGGAUUUUUUCCGUGUCGCACCUAACGCAUUAAGCACCCCCCCUGGGGAGUACGGUCGCAAAGUUAAAACUCAAAGGAAUUGACGG